AGUGAACGCUGGCGGUAGGCCUAACACAUGCAAGUCGAACGGCAGCACAGUAAGAGCUUGCUCUUACGGGUGGCGAGUGGCGGACGGGUGAGGAAUACAUCGGAAUCUACUUUUUUGUGGGGGAUAACGUAGGGAAACUUACGCUAAUACCGCAUACGACCUACGGGUGAAAGCAGGGGAUCUUCGGACCUUGCGCGAUUGAAUGAGCCGAUGUCGGAUUAGCUAGUUGGCGGGGUAUAGGCCCACCAAGGCGACGAUCCGUAGCUGGUCUGAGAGGAUGAUCAGCCACACUGGAACUGAGACACGGUCCAGACUCCUACGGGAGGCAGCAGUGGGGAAUAUUGGACAAUGGGCGCAAGCCUGAUCCAGCCAUACCGCGUGGGUGAAGAAGGCCUUCGGGUUGUAAAGCCCUUUUGUUGGGAAAGAAAAGCAGCAGGUUAAUACCCCGCUGUUCUGACGGUACCCAAAGAAUAAGCACCGGCUAACUUCGUG
RNAcentral lists this ribosomal RNA (492 nucleotides) under uncultured bacterium. RNAcentral describes it as "partial 16S ribosomal RNA". It matches the Rfam family "Bacterial small subunit ribosomal RNA", at positions 29 to 507 of the family's 1533-position model. The record is from RNAcentral.